AAAAAAGGUAAGCUACUAAGAGCGAAUGGUGGAUGCCUUGACUGGUAAAGGCGAUGAAGGACGUACUAGACUGCGAUAAGCUACGGGGAGCUGUCAAGAAGCUUUGAUCCGUAGAUUUCCGAAUGGGGCAACCCAAUGUAUAGAGAUAUACAUUACCUAUAUAGGAGCGAACGAGGGGAAUUGAAACAUCUUAGUACCCUCAGGAAAAGAAAUCAAUAGAGAUUGCGUCAGUAGCGGCGAGCGAAAGCGCAAGAGGGCAAACCCAGUGCUUGCACUGGGGGUUGUAGGACUGCAAUGUGCAAGAGGUGAGUUUAGCAGAACAUUCUGGAAAGUAUAGCCAUAGAGGGUGAUAGUCCCGUAUGCGAAAAACAAACCUUAGCUAGCAGUAUCCUGAGUAGGGCGGGACACGAGAAAUCCUGUCUGAAGCUGGGUCGACCACGAUCCAACCCUAAAUACUAAUACCAGAUCGAUAGUGCACAAGUACCGUGAGGGAAAGGUGAAAAGAACUGAGGUGAUCAGAGUGAAAUAGAACCUGAAACCAUUUGCUUACAAUCAUUCAGAGCCCUAUGUAGCAAUACAGGGUGAUGGACUGCCUUUUGCAUAAUGAGCCUGCGAGUUGUGGUGUCUGGCAAGGUUAAGCAAACGCGAAGCCGUAGCGAAAGCGAGUCUGAAUAGGGCGCUUAGUCAGAUGCUGCAGACCCGAAACGAAGUGAUCUAUCCAUGAGCAAGUUGAAGCUAGUGUAAGAACUAGUGGAGGACUGAACCCAUAGGCGUUGAAAAGCCCCGGGAUGACUUGUGGAUAGGGGUGAAAGGCCAAUCAAACUUCGUGAUAGCUGGUUCUCUCCGAAAUAUAUUUAGGUAUAGCGUUGUGUCGUAAUAUAAGGGGGUAGAGCACUGAAUGGGCUAGGGCAUACACCAAUGUACCAAACCCUAUCAAACUCCGAAUACCUUAUAUGUAAUCACAGCAGUCAGGCGGCGAGUGAUAAAAUCCGUCGUCAAGAGGGAAACAACCCAGACUACCAGCUAAGGUCCCUAAAUCUUACUUAAGUGGAAAACGAUGUGAAGUUACUUAAACAACCAGGAGGUUGGCUUAGAAGCAGCCAUCCUUUAAAGAAAGCGUAAUAGCUCACUGGUCUAGUGAUUUUGCGCGGAAAAUAUAACGGGGCUAAAGUAAGUACCGAAGCUGUAGACUUGAUUUUAUCAAGUGGUAGGAGAGCGUUCUAUUUGCGUCGAAGGUAUACCGGUAAGGAGUGCUGGAGCGAAUAGAAGUGAGCAUGCAGGCAUGAGUAGCGAUAAUUAAUGUGAGAAUCAUUAACGCCGUAAACCCAAGGUUUCCUACGCGAUGCUCGUCAUCGUAGGGUUAGUCGGGUCCUAAGUCGAGUCCGAAAGGGGUAGACGAUGGCAAAUUGGUUAAUAUUCCAAUACCAACAUUAGUGUGCGAUGGAAGGACGCUUAGGGCUAAGGGGGCUAGCGGAUGGAAGUGCUAGUCUAAGGUCGUAGGAGGUUAUACAGGCAAAUCCGUAUAACAAUACUCCGAGAACUGAAAGGCUUUUUGAAGUCUUCGGAUGGAUAGAAGAACCCCUGAUGCCGUCGAGCCAAGAAAAGUUUCUAAGUUUAGCUAAUGUUGCCCGUACCGUAAACCGACACAGGUGGGUGGGAUGAGUAUUCUAAGGCGCGUGGAAGAACUCUCUUUAAGGAACUCUGCAAAAUAGCACCGUAUCUUCGGUAUAAGGUGUGGUUCGCUUCGUAUUAGGAUUUACUCCGAAAGCGAAGAAACUUACAACAAAGAGUCCCUCCCGACUGUUUACCAAAAACACAGCACUCUGCUAACUCGUAAGAGGAUGUAUAGGGUGUGACGCCUGCCCGGUGCUCGAAGGUUAAUUGAUGGGGUUAGCAUUAGCGAAGCUCUUGAUCGAAGCCCGAGUAAACGGCGGCCGUAACUAUAACGGUCCUAAGGUAGCGAAAUUCCUUGUCGGUUAAAUACCGACCUGCAUGAAUGGCGUAACGAGAUGGGAGCUGUCUCAAAGAGGGAUCCAGUGAAAUUGUAGUGGAGGUGAAAAUUCCUCCUACCCGCGGCAAGACGGAAAGACCCCGUGGACCUUUACUACAGCUUGACACUGCUACUUGGAUAAGAAUGUGCAGGAUAGGUGGGAGGCUUUGAGUAUAUGACGCCAGUUGUAUAUGAGCCAUUGUUGAGAUACCACUCUUUCUUAUUUGGGUAGCUAACCAGCUUGAGUUAUCCUCAAGUGGGACAAUGUCUGGUGGGUAGUUUGACUGGGGCGGUCGCCUCCCAAAUAAUAACGGAGGCUUACAAAGGUUGGCUCAGAACGGUUGGAAAUCGUUCGUAGAGUAUAAAGGUAUAAGCCAGCUUAACUGCAAGACAUACAAGUCAAGCAGAGACGAAAGUCGGUCUUAGUGAUCCGGUGGUUCUGUGUGGAAGGGCCAUCGCUCAAAGGAUAAAAGGUACCCCGGGGAUAACAGGCUGAUCUCCCCCAAGAGCUCACAUCGACGGGGAGGUUUGGCACCUCGAUGUCGGCUCAUCGCAUCCUGGGGCUGGAGCAGGUCCCAAGGGUAUGGCUGUUCGCCAUUUAAAGCGGUACGCGAGCUGGGUUCAGAACGUCGUGAGACAGUUCGGUCCCUAUCUGCCGUGGGCGUAAGAAGAUUGAAGAGAUUUGACCCUAGUACGAGAGGACCGGGUUGAACAAACCACUGGUGUAGCUGUUGUUCUGCCAAGAGCAUCGCAGCGUAGCUAAGUUUGGAAAGGAUAAACGCUGAAAGCAUCUAAGCGUGAAGCCAACUCUAAGAUGAAUCUUCUCUAAGCUCUCUAGAAGACUACUAGUUUGAUAGGCUGGGUGUGUAAUGGAUGAAAGUCCUUUAGCUGACCAGUACUAAUAGAGCGUUUGGCUUAUCUUUAAUAAAGCAU
This 2923-nucleotide ribosomal RNA is filed under the name Campylobacter coli. RNAcentral's name for it is "23S ribosomal RNA". It matches the Rfam family "Bacterial large subunit ribosomal RNA". The record is from RNAcentral. Lineage: Bacteria; Pseudomonadati; Campylobacterota; Epsilonproteobacteria; Campylobacterales; Campylobacteraceae.